This 308-nucleotide long non-coding RNA is filed under the name Brachypodium distachyon (stiff brome). Its description in RNAcentral is "long non-coding RNA (BDIS_LNC004264)". The record is from RNAcentral. Lineage: Eukaryota; Viridiplantae; Streptophyta; Magnoliopsida; Poales; Poaceae.
UGGUUGCCUUGAGCUCUUCCCUUAGGGAUUGUGGAGCUUGAGGAUUGGAUUGGGAGCCUCCAAUUGAGUUGUGGAGCUAGCUCCGGUCAAGUUUGUAAAUGUUCGGUCUUCGCCUUCAAGGAAGCCAUCAGUCGAGCUCACUCACCUUUGUGGUGCCGUGAGAGGAGAAUAGAGUGAGCCUUUGUGGCGUCUCUACCUUUAGAGAAUUUAGUAAACCCUAGGUUAAGUGUUUGUAUCUUUCUAGAAAAGAAAAAGAAAAAGAUUAAAAUUUGUUAGUCGCCUAUUCACCCCCCCCCUCUAGCCGACCA